RNAcentral lists this transfer RNA (40 nucleotides) under Orobanche minor. RNAcentral's name for it is "partial tRNA-Phe". RNAcentral also lists the same sequence under 15 other names. The record is from RNAcentral. Lineage: Eukaryota; Viridiplantae; Streptophyta; Magnoliopsida; Lamiales; Orobanchaceae.
GUCGGGAUAGCUCAGUUGGUAGAGCAGAGGACUGAAAAUU